UCUUCCAGCACCGAAUAUAAUACCGCAUCCGUCAAACAUCCUCUGAUCACCGAGCAUGCUUUCUUCUCCAACGAUGUCCACUGUCUAUCUGUCAUUCCCUCAGGCUUCUCAUCCAAAGCCUGAUCCAGAUCUGCUUGCACCAGAAGAUCCUCCACCCAAAUUUUCCACAUGGAAAAAUUUUCCUUGCCAUCAAACUUCUCGAGAUCGACCUUCAUAUUGCUGCCCAUGACUGGAUCCAAGCCAAACAAGCAAUAUAAAAUCAAGAAGUGUAGAAUAUACCUUGAUGGUACCUUGCUGAAAAUUUUCAGCACUUGGGAUCUUCAACUUCUCAUGCU
RNAcentral lists this long non-coding RNA (335 nucleotides) under Elaeis guineensis (African oil palm). RNAcentral describes it as "long non-coding RNA (EGUI_LNC071003)". Lineage: Eukaryota; Viridiplantae; Streptophyta; Magnoliopsida; Arecales; Arecaceae. The record is from RNAcentral.